Odocoileus virginianus texanus is the source of this 209-nucleotide non-coding RNA. NCBI's taxonomy places the organism in Eukaryota, Metazoa, Chordata, Mammalia, Artiodactyla, Cervidae. The record is from RefSeq and is a predicted model, not a curated record.
UUUAAGAUAAUUGGAGUGCUAAAGCUAAAAGACGAAAUACCACCGGGACUGGUCGAAUGAGGCACCUAAAAAUUGUAUACCGCAGAUUCAGGCAUGGAUUCCGUGAAGGAACAACACCUAAACCCAAGCGAGCGGCUGUUGCAGCAUCCAGUUCAUCCUAAGGAUUUCAACAAUUAGUCGCGCAAUAAAUGUUCUGGCUUUUAAAAAUA